GUAAUAACCUAGGCAAAAAGUCACUGAAGAGAACUCUUAAAAAUUGUGGUAAGGAUACUGAAGUGUUGCUUUCCGCCUGGGAUGUCUUCUGUCAGGGAAGAGGGUGGGGAAGGACUGAGUUCUCUUUAAGGGGCUGGUCACCAGGAGUUUGAUCAUGCUCCAGUGAACAUAAGGACCACAUAAAUUGGACUUGG
Peromyscus maniculatus bairdii (prairie deer mouse) is the source of this 194-nucleotide non-coding RNA. NCBI's taxonomy places the organism in Eukaryota, Metazoa, Chordata, Mammalia, Rodentia, Cricetidae. The record is from RefSeq and is a predicted model, not a curated record.